RNAcentral lists this ribosomal RNA (253 nucleotides) under uncultured bacterium. Its description in RNAcentral is "partial 16S ribosomal RNA". It matches the Rfam family "Bacterial small subunit ribosomal RNA", at positions 524 to 776 of the family's 1533-position model. The record is from RNAcentral.
UACGUAGGGUCCGAGCGUUGUCCGGAAUUAAUGGGCGUAAAGAGCUCGUAGGUGGUUUGUCGCGUUGUUCGUGAAAACUCACAGCUUAACUGUGGGCGUGCGGGCGAUACGGGCAGACUUGAGUACUGCAGGGGAGACUGGAAUUCCUGGUGUAGCGGUGGAAUGCGCAGAUAUCAGGAGGAACACCGGUGGCGAAGGCGGGUCUCUGGGACGUGACUGACGCUGAGACGCGAAAGCGUGGGGAGCAAACAGG